RNAcentral lists this ribosomal RNA (230 nucleotides) under uncultured bacterium. Its description in RNAcentral is "partial 16S ribosomal RNA". It matches the Rfam family "Bacterial small subunit ribosomal RNA", at positions 15 to 224 of the family's 1533-position model. The record is from RNAcentral.
GAUCAUGGCUCAGGAUGAACGCUGGCGGCGUGCCUAACACAUGCAAGUCGAACGGAGAUCUUAAGGGAUGCGACUUCGGUCAAAUGACUUUUGAACUUAGUGGCGGACGGGUGAGUAACGCGUGAGCAACCUGCCUUUCAGAGGGGGAUAACAUUUGGAAACAGAUGCUAAUACCGCAUAAGAUUACAGUACCGCAUGAUACAGUGAUCAAAGGAGCAAUCCGCUGAAAG